Long non-coding RNA from Pocillopora verrucosa, 825 nucleotides. RefSeq lists it as uncharacterized. The record is from RefSeq and is a predicted model, not a curated record. NCBI's taxonomy places the organism in Eukaryota, Metazoa, Cnidaria, Anthozoa, Scleractinia, Pocilloporidae.
CGAGGAGGGAGCGAGUCUGGUCACGAUUUAUAAAAAGUCAGAUUUGGAGGAGGCACAUCGAGGGGGCAGAUAUCUUUCGCUUUGGUCUCAGGAAGAAAUCUCGUCAGAAUGGCCUCGAAAGUCGAAGUUUCCGUAGAAUAUUGCGGUGCCUGAGGGUACGCCCCACGCUACAGGGAAUUGGCUGAUAAGAUCAAGGCCGAUGUCCCUGAAGCAAAUGUUGUCGGCCAAGUUGGUCGCACAUCUUCAUUUGAAGUAAUGGUGAAUGGAAAACUGAUUUUUUCCAAACUUGAACAAGGAAGUUUUCCCUCUUUCAAAGAGAUUGUUGUUGUGGUACGUGACUGCAGCCAAGGCAAAGAACCCUGUGAAGUGACAGAGAAAGAGGAAUCAUCAUGCAUCCUGCUGUAGUCCAGCCACAUGUUAACAAUCCUAUUAAAUCAAAUCACUUUAAUCCAGUUGACAAUUAUGUGCACUUGCACACAAAAUCGAUAAAAAAUUGAAUCAUUUUAUUUAUUAAAGCAGCUUAUUGUUUCUUCUAGGCACCUAAAAGCCAAUCACCAAAGUUUCUUUUUUAUGAUUGAUGUCCUCUUAAAAACUACUAGUUGUUAUUUAGCAUGUAGUAAAGUUAAACCUAGUAGAUCUUCUUCCGUUGUCUCAGCGGUAGUUGAUGUGCGUAAAGUGUUUGGGCUUUAAGAAUAGAUGAGAUGCCCUAGAGCCAAAAUUUGUAAACUUCAGCCAAUCCUUCCUUGAUAAAAAUUUUAGUAAUGGUGGUUAGUUGCCUGUAAAAAGAAACUACAACACAUUGUUAGCUAUUGUGUGUAUUAAUUU